AUUGAACGCUCGCGGGAUGCUUUACACAUGCAAGUCGAACGGCAGCGCGGACUCCGGUCUGGCGGCGUGUGGCGAACGGGUGAGUAAUGUAUCAGAACGUGCCCAGUAGCGGGGGAUAACUACGCGAAAGCGUAUCUAAUACCGCACACGCCCUACGGGGGAACGCAGGGGAUCGUAAGACCUUGCACUAUUGGAGCGGCCGAUAUCGGAUUAGCUAGUUGGUGAGGUAACGGCUCACCAAGGCGACGAUCCGUAGCUGGUUUGAGAGGACGACCAGCCACACUGGGACUGAGACACGGCCCAGACUCCUACGGGAGGCAGCAGUGGGGAAUUUUGGACAAUGGGGGCAAGCCUGAUCCAGCCAUCCCGCGUGUAGGAUGAAGGCCUUCGGGUUGUAAAGCGCUUUUGGCAGGAAAGAAAAGUCGCGGGCUAAUACCGAGUGGAACUGACGGUACCUGAAGAAUAAGCACCGGCUAACUACGUG
This 484-nucleotide ribosomal RNA is filed under the name uncultured bacterium. RNAcentral describes it as "partial 16S ribosomal RNA". It matches the Rfam family "Bacterial small subunit ribosomal RNA", at positions 30 to 507 of the family's 1533-position model. The record is from RNAcentral.